This 253-nucleotide ribosomal RNA is filed under the name uncultured bacterium. RNAcentral describes it as "partial 16S ribosomal RNA". It matches the Rfam family "Bacterial small subunit ribosomal RNA", at positions 524 to 776 of the family's 1533-position model. The record is from RNAcentral.
UACGGAGGGUGCAAGCGUUAUCCGGAUUCACUGGGUUUAAAGGGUGCGUAGGUGGGUUGGUAAGUCAGUGGUGAAAUCUCCGAGCUUAACUUGGAAACUGCCAUUGAUACUAUCAAUCUUGAAUAUUGUGGAGGUCAGCGGAAUAUGUCAUGUAGCGGUGAAAUGCUUAGAGAUGACAUAGAACACCAAUUGCGAAGGCAGCUGGCUACACAUAUAUUGACACUGAGGCACGAAAGCGUGGGGAUCAAACAGG